Non-coding RNA from Octopus bimaculoides (California two-spot octopus), 152 nucleotides. NCBI's taxonomy places the organism in Eukaryota, Metazoa, Mollusca, Cephalopoda, Octopoda, Octopodidae. The record is from Rfam.
GGCGUUGGACAGGGGAUCACUCGGCUCGUCCAUCAAUGAAGAGUGCGGCUAUCCACGUGAACUGAUGCGAAUUGCAGGACUCAGUGAACAUCAACACCUCGAAUGCACAAAUGCUGCCAAGGUGGACAUUGACUUUCAUCCAUUUGGGAUCA